Molecule: small RNA, 28 nt
Filed under: Bombyx mori (domestic silkworm)
Lineage: Eukaryota; Metazoa; Arthropoda; Insecta; Lepidoptera; Bombycidae
Description: ovarian small RNA-23194
Source: RNAcentral
UAGUUGUGACACCCAGGUUCAGGUCCCC